AUGCAUUGCUGGAAGAAAAGCAGUUGCUGGGAGGAGAGCACAGCAGCUCUAAUUGCCAUGAACAGCAGCCACUCCACACCCUCCAGUGAUGCCACAUCCAGUAGUAAAUGUUGGGAACCUGAGGCCACCAUGAAGGGAGCUGGGCACCAGGGUGGGACAGGUCAGAAGGGAAAAGGGAAGAGAAGACAUCCCACCUCCCUUGAACAUCCCGCAUCCCAUAAGGACCAUCCUGAGAGGUUGAAGGAGCUCCACAACCUGCUGUGCCAUUGCCUACACGAUGCCCAAUGCACCCAGAACUGCACAAAUUGCAUGCAGCAGGCAGGGCGACCUGCACCCAAGGUGCUUUAACUCCUGAACUGUUAGCAUGCUGAAGACAUCAGUGUAAAUUCAAUAUCUGCUCCAGCUGGUGACCCAUCUCAAGGCUGCCCAUCCUCCUGUGUCUUCCCAUGGUCCCAGAAGCUCUGGCCUCCCUUGGCCAGCCUGGCCCAGCAGCAGAAGACACUUCACCAG
This 510-nucleotide long non-coding RNA is filed under the name Anas platyrhynchos platyrhynchos (common mallard). RNAcentral's name for it is "lncRNA (ENSAPLG00000030119.1)". The record is from RNAcentral. Lineage: Eukaryota; Metazoa; Chordata; Aves; Anseriformes; Anatidae.